RNAcentral lists this ribosomal RNA (460 nucleotides) under uncultured bacterium. Its description in RNAcentral is "partial 16S ribosomal RNA". It matches the Rfam family "Bacterial small subunit ribosomal RNA", at positions 338 to 795 of the family's 1533-position model. The record is from RNAcentral.
CCUACGGGUGGCAGCAGUGAGGAAUAUUGGUCAAUGGGCGCGAGCCUGAACCAGCCAAGUAGCGUGAAGGAUGACUGCCCUACGGGUUGUAAACUUCUUUUAUAAAGGAAUAAGGUGAGGCACGUGUGACUUUUUGUAUGUACUUUAUGAAUAAGGAUCGGCUAACUCCGUGCCAGCAGCCGCGGUAAUACGGAGGAUGCGAGCGUUAUGCGGAUUUAUUGGGUUUAAAGGGAGCGUAGAUGGGUUGUUAAGUCAGUUGUGAAAGUUUGCGGCUCAACCGUAAAAUUGCAAUUGAUACUGGUCGUCUUGAGUACAGUUGAGGUAGGCGGAAUUCGUGGUGUAGCGGUGAAAUGCUUAGAUAUCACGAAGAACUCCGAUUGCGAAGGCAGCUUACUAAACUGCCACUGACAUUGAUGCUCGAAAGUGUGGGUAGCAAACAGGAUUAGAUACCCGGGUAGUC